CCUACGGGGGGCAGCAGUGGGGAAUAUUGGACAAUGGGGGCAACCCUGAUCCAGCCAUGCCGCGUGAGUGAUGAAGGCCCUAGGGUUGUAAAGCUCUUUUGUGCGGGAAGAUAAUGACGGUACCGCAAGAAUAAGCCCCGGCUAACUUCGUGCCAGCAGCCGCGGUAAUACGAAGGGGGCUAGCGUUGCUCGGAAUCACUGGGCGUAAAGGGUGCGUAGGCGGGUCUUUAAGUCAGGGGUGAAAUCCUGGAGCUCAACUCCAGAACUGCCUUUGAUACUGAAGAUCUUGAGUAUGGGAGAGGUGAGUGGAACUGCGAGUGUAGAGGUGAAAUUCGUAGAUAUUCGCAAGAACACCAGUGGCGAAGGCGGCUCACUGGCCCAUAACUGACGCUGAGGCACGAAAGCGUGGGGAGCAAACAGGAUUAGAUACCCUGGUAGUC
RNAcentral lists this ribosomal RNA (440 nucleotides) under uncultured bacterium. RNAcentral's name for it is "bacterial SSU rRNA". It matches the Rfam family "Bacterial small subunit ribosomal RNA", at positions 338 to 795 of the family's 1533-position model. The record is from RNAcentral.